RNAcentral lists this ribosomal RNA (490 nucleotides) under uncultured bacterium. RNAcentral's name for it is "bacterial SSU rRNA". It matches the Rfam family "Bacterial small subunit ribosomal RNA", at positions 28 to 507 of the family's 1533-position model. The record is from RNAcentral.
GAUGAACGCUAGCGGCAGGGCCUAACACAUGCAAGUCAGGGGGUAACAUAGGAAAGCUUGCUUUUCUGAUGAUGACCGGCGCACGGGUGCGUAACGCGUAUACAACCUACCUUUUAGCGGGGAAUAGCCCAGGGAAGCUUGGAUUAAUGCCCCAUAGUAUAUAGACUUCUCCUGAAGUUUAUAUUAAACAUUUAUGGCUAUUAGAUGGGUAUGCGUCCUAUUAGUUAGUUGGUAAGGUAACGGCUUACCAAGGCAGCGAUAGGUAGGGGUCCUGAGAGGGAGAUCCCCACACUGGUACUGAGACACGGACCAGACUCCUACGGGAGGCAGCAGUGAGGAAUAUUGGACAAUGGGCGAGAGCCUGAUCCAGCCAUGCCGCGUGCAGGAAGACUGCCCUAUGGGUUGUAAACUGUCUUUUACAGAGGAAGAACCCACCCCCACGUGUGGGGGUUUGACGGUACUCUGCGAAUAAGGAUCGGCUAACUCCGUG